CAGAGAUAGUAACAGUUUUCAUUGGUGACUACUAUGAGGAACCGAUGGAUGUGGUGUUUUUGUUUGGCCUGAGAGGCAUCCAGCACACCCCAUCAGCAUCAAGAAUGCCGUGUGUCUCAGCACUCCAAGGCCAAUCUCACUGCCACUUUCAACCUAUUUCCAGAGGCCAAGUUUGCUGUGGUUCUGGGAGAGGACCUGGACAUGGCUGUGGGUGUUUUAUCAGUUUCCUAAGCCAAUCUAUCCACCUGCUGGAGGAAGAUGACAGCCUGAGCUAGAAUGACCAGGGUUGGGAGCAUACAGCUGAGGACCCAGCACUAUUGUACCAUGUGGAAACCAUGCCUGGGCUGGGCUGGGUGCUCAGGAAAUCUUGGUAUAAGGAGGAGCUUGAGCCCAAGUGGCCCACUCUGGAAAAGCUCUGGGCCUGGACAUGUGGUUGAGGAUGCCAAAAUAGUACUAGGGCCAAGAAUGCAUCAUUCUCAUUUCCUGAUCCUACUACUUUGGCAUCAUGGGUCUCAACAUGAAUGGCUACUUCCACGAGGCCUACUUCAAGAAGCAAGUGUUCAACAUGGUUCUAGGUAUCCAGAUUUGGAAUGUGGACAGUCUGAAGAAAGAAGCUUAGAAAGUGGAAAUUUACAGGCUACUCAACGAGGCUGGAGUUCUGGACCACAGCAAAAAUCCUUGUGAAGACUCCUUGAUGCUGAAUGCA
RNAcentral lists this long non-coding RNA (706 nucleotides) under Marmota monax (woodchuck). The record is from RNAcentral. Lineage: Eukaryota; Metazoa; Chordata; Mammalia; Rodentia; Sciuridae.